AGUAGUGUGACUUAGUGGAUAGAGCACGUGACUGGGAAUCAGAAGGACCUGGGUUCUAAUCCCGGCUCUGCCA
Molecule: transfer RNA, 73 nt
Filed under: Ornithorhynchus anatinus (platypus)
Lineage: Eukaryota; Metazoa; Chordata; Mammalia; Monotremata; Ornithorhynchidae
Rfam family: tRNA
About the family: Transfer RNA (tRNA) molecules are approximately 80 nucleotides in length. Their secondary structure includes four short double-helical elements and three loops (D, anti-codon, and T loops).
Source: Rfam by way of RNAcentral